CUCAAAAGUUACCAAAGAAACUAUAUUUUACCCUAUAAACAAUUUACUAUUCGACUUUCAGAUACAGGUCUCAAAAAUGGCGUAAUACUAAUGUAUCAACGUCACAAAACGUGACGGCACAGAUAAAUUUCUAAAAAUAGACUAUAAAAAUAUGUUUAGGUUUGUAAUGAUGUUGCUUUAUGUAUUUUCUAAAAGAAGGGCGAAAGAAACCAAAGUGAUAUUCAAAAUCAGAAAUCGAAGAUAAACUGACAACGGCAUGACUAAAAAUGAAAAAGACAAACAGACAAAUAAUAGCACACAAAACACAAC
This 309-nucleotide long non-coding RNA is filed under the name Mytilus galloprovincialis (Mediterranean mussel). Lineage: Eukaryota; Metazoa; Mollusca; Bivalvia; Mytilida; Mytilidae. The record is from RNAcentral.